UUACCUUUUAAAUAAUACACUACACACACAUAAUUCUCUGCACACACUCACCUACGGAGAAACACACACGGGUUUCCAUUUUCUUAUCCCAAUAAUCCUCCACUUUGAUUGACAAAAAAAUACAUUCACACACAAAUGAGAAAUGAGAGAGAGGAAAGAGAGAUGAACGAAGAGAGAUAGAAAAACCGGUGAAGGAAAAAUAGAGAGAAAGGAGGGAUGUGACGGAGAGAGGAGAGAUCGAGAGAGAAGUAAAAAAAGGAAGGGAGUGCACAGAGAGAGAGAAACGAACGAAUUUGACGGUUGUCAGCAAGUUUCUUGCUGUAAAUGUGCCAGAUUCACCAUUGGUAAACACUGUCGUCGCCGUCCAUAGCCGUUUCGGCAAGACCUGCCGGCAGACGGCUCACCAGUACCGUUUUCUUCCCAAAAUUUAUCUAGAUUUGGGAUGGUGAUUGUAUUUCGCUUGAAUUUUGGAUCGUUGUCUCGGGAUUCAUUUUUCUUUGUGGAUUUGCAUUCAAAUCUGUUCGGUUGUGUCUUUUUAGAUAUCAAGUUGGUCUAGUUCGUUGUUUUUUCGAGGUUGGGUUUUAUUAUCGCACUAUUAUCAAUGAAAAUUCGAUCUUGUGAGGUCCAAUUCUCAACUCUACUUAUUCUUUUAUUAUUUCAAUGUGGUUGAUGAUGUGAUUAGUGGUGUGUUUGAAGUGUAUUUGAGCUUUUAUAAUUAUUAUGGCUUAAUUUCUUGAUUUUACAUCAAAAUUAGUUAAUCAUUGAUUAAGAAUAGAAUUCGGGGAGGUAUGGAUCUUGAAACGUGAAUGUGAAUAUAUUUGAUUUAUUAUUGAAAGUUUGAAUUGGAAUGAGUAUUGAUGUUUGUCAAACCCGAUAGUAUCAUGUUUUAGUCCGAAAUAAAUAGGAAAAUCUUAGUUGGGUAUGCAAACUUUAGGAAUCAAUAUUGUUGGGCGAUUGAAUGUUUGUUGAAUGAUUUUGUUGCAAAAUAUUGAAAUUGUAUUCAUUUUCACCGGGGAAUGCUCCAAGGAAAUUGUAUUUAUUCACGGGGGAAUGUCUCGAGGUAUUAUGUACGCGAAGGAUGUUCGCGAUCAAGACUUGGAACAUCGGGUGGAGCUUAGUCUAGGGCUAGUUUAGAAUUAAAUUUACAUUUUUGGCAUUUUUCUAUUUUUGGAUUGUAUAAUUCAGACUGUACAUUAUUUUGUUUUGAAUUUCUGUUUGGUUUUGUUUGUUUGUUUUGUUGGUUUAUACUCUUCAUAAGACCAUACUAGCCAAUAUACUCCAUGAAGCGACCACGGUCGAACCACGAGACCAAGGGGUGCCUAACUCCUUUCCCUCGGUCAACGGAAUUCCUUAACCGGAAUCUCUAUUCGUGAACUAGUUCUGAAAGUCAAAUCAUUUUGAAAAAACUUUUCCAAAGGUGACUUGGUACUCCCGAUUUAUUCCAAGUGGUAACUCUAAGUAUAAUUAUAAAAAAUUCUUUUCGAAAUAAAUUUUUCAUCUUUUGUCACUUAACAAUAAAAACCCUUUCAAACAUAAAAUCAAUAUUCUUUUUGGUAUAAAGGGAGUGUGACAUCUCUGGCGACUCUGCUGGAGAUUUUUUCAAAAUUCGAGCUUAUUUUUUUGAGUUGUAUCGACUUAGUGUGACACAAUGGGUGUAUAAACAUUUUGUUUGUGUUAUUAUUUUUGUUAUUAUUUUUAUCAUUGUUGGAUGCCUACGUGCUCUUUGUUUACAAUCUUUCUUUAUAUGUUACCGCUUUCUAUUUGGCAUCAUAUGCAUUAACCUGAGUUAAUUCUUUCCCAACAAGUCCCGGAGUACAAGUUGUGUAAACGAACUCUAGUUGAGUCACUCUUAUUUUAGGAUGGGAAACCAUUAGAUGUAUGGAGUAGGUGGAAAGCAGUCGUAGCCACUAUCGACCAUAUACACCUUCGAACAACCUUGUUAGUGGACCCCAGCCUAGGUCAGCCUUUAGGUCAUGCUUAUCUGCAUUAUGUUGAGACCUAGCAGGACCCACUUUGUCCUUUGUGGGAGACUCACCCCUAUAGCAUCCCUACGUGCAAAUUGUUGCAUCUUUUAGGGUAACAGGAUCAUUUAACGGACUGAUUUGGGGAAAACAUGUGGUAGAAUUAAAGGAAAGUGUGUAAGCAAAGAAAAGUGUGAAAAAAAGAAAAAAGAAGAAAAGAAAAAUUGAGUUGAAGAAAAGAGUUCAUAGUUCGUAGGAGUUCUUUAUGGCGUUUGUUUUCCACAAUCAAAAAUUCAAAAAGAUUUUUUUACAUUUUGCAUUCAUUUUCCAAAAAAUCAAAAGCACAAAAAAGAUUUUACUUUGGUUUCCUUUAGCAAGCAUUCUUAAUUCAAAAUUGUCAAAAAGAUUUUUUUUCAAUAGGAGCUUUUAUAAAGGAAAAAUUCAAAAAAUAUGGUAGAAGGUUUGUACAUUUCAUAUAAUGAAAAUAUCAAAAAUAUUUUUCUUUCAUAGUUGUUAGUGUCAUUUUUAUGUGAAGUGUCAGAUUGAAAACUCAAAAGAGAUUUUAUUUAUGUUUUUCAUCAUCCAUCUUUGGCCGUGCACCUCAAGUUAAGGUUCAGUUUGUUAUUUUAUCCUUAAUUAACCUAUCUGGAUGAACUACGCACACCUGAUUCUCCUCAUUCGGGAGUGAGAUAUGUAGGCAGUCCUUCGUGGGUUCGGUUAUCUUAUUUAAAAAAUUCAAAAAAGAAUUUUUCUUCACUCUUCAUUUGGAGUAGGUGUCUCAUAUAUAUCUGUAAAAGAAAACUACAAAAAAAAAGAUUUUUCUUUAAUAGGUUCAAGUUUCAUCUUCGUAUGAAAUUCAAAAUCGAAAACUCAAAAAGAUUUCCUUUGGUAAUUAUUGGUUUCAUUUUGUAUAGGAUUUUAAAGCUGAAAAAUUCAAAAAAAUAUUUCAUCAAUUCUUUUGACAAUUUGUUGUUUUCUUUUCUUCUUAAAGUUUCAAGAAAAAAAAAGAAAGAGACUUUGAUUGGCCGUGUUGUGCCAAAACUUUACGAACUACGCACACUUGAUUCUCUUCUCUCGGUAGUGAGAUACGUAGACGCCCUUCUUGGGUUCGGUGAUCUUUUCAAGAAAAAGAGAAAAAGUUUUGGAUAAGUAUUACAUUCUAACGCCUUUGUUAUUUCUUAUUCAGUUAGUUUAAGAUGGUUGGUUUGUGACAUUCUGGUUGGUCUUCCAUAUCACACCAAAUCUAAGGAAGGGUAAGUUGUGUCCAACAAGGAUAUAGUGAGUGACAUCAUGGAUCAAAUAAAGAGUCAGAAAAAUGAGAAUUUAAAGCAAGAGAUUGUGAGAUUAAGGCAACAAAUGAUGGAAAUGUAUCGAGCUUGGGCCAAUGAGCUACCUCCUCCUCCAUUUCCCACUAUUGACCCUGCAAAUACCUUAAGAUUUCCAUCACAAUUGCAAAGUCAGUUUCCUACUGUUGUUGAUGCACCACAACAUGCCACAGAAUUCACUAUAAGCCAAAAGUAUCCCAAUGCUUUCAUCACUCACUCUCUAGCUCUUCAGUGUAAAUUUACCAUAUUGAUUGUUAUGUCGGGGACACAACGGGGCUUGAGAUGGUCAUACCAUGAGCCUCGACCCCGAGCCUAUACAUUAGAUCCAUAUAAUCACCUGCAACAAGAUUCCUCUUUGCAAAAUCCAAGAUAUUUCAUUCCACUUCCUCAAUAUCCUUUGAAUAAUGCACAGUGAUAUACUCAUUCAUAUUCUUAUCCACAAUGGCAUGCACCGGUUCCUCAACAUCGUCCUCUGCCCCCAUAUAUCUAGCAAGAAACUUCUAAGUCCAAGUUUCAACCGAGUUCGAAGUUUGUAAAAAGAAGGAAAUCAAAGGAUAAUUUUAUACGGAAUGUGUCUGAUAGUGGUGAAAGAUCUAGUCAUGAUGAUGUGAAAAUUAAUGGCCAAGAUGUCAUGCUCAACAAUUGGGAAGUCACUCAUCUCCUUACUUGAAAGGAUUUUUGGUAAUUUGUUUUGUGUUCUUUUCUAUUUUUUGAAUUAUUUUAGGGUUGUAGUUCGAAAUCUAUCUUGUUUUGUUUCUCUGUAGUAUUUAUUUAAACUCUUCAAUUUUUUUUUCAAUGAGAUGUGGUGUCCCUUGUCAUUUUAUCUUAUUUUAAGUCGUUUGUUUGUCUUCUUCACACAAUAUAUUUUAUGUUGGUUCUAGUGAUAUGACAUGCUGGCUGAAUUUCAGCUAGAUCUUAAAAUUUAAUUUAAGCAUGAACUUUGGAUCAGAAUGUUUCAUAUAGAAAAGAGCAUCAGAUAAAAUAGGUAGAGUGUGAUACAUUUGGUGACCAACUUGAAGCCUCCUUUAAAAAUUAUAGCAAGAAUCAUAAGAAUAACUUGGUCAUCAAUUGAAAAGCAUAGCUCAAUUAGGUCAAAUAGUGAAUGCAUGAUCCCUAUAUCAAGAGAAACAGGAAGACAAUCAGCUCUAUGAAAACAUGGGUCAUUCUAGGUAAGGGAUGUACACCAAAGGUAGAGUUGUAUGUUUGACAAGUGUAGAACAAGAAGUGGCACACAUGCUCAGUUAAAGUUAGUGUUGUUAGAGUGUCACAAAUGAUCUUCAUCUUUUACUUUAUAUUGCAUGAUGUAUACUUGCAUUUUCAAGGAUUGACAUGACGAAGGCAUUUCAUUCUGCUAUUCAAAUAUUGUGUCAUCCUUUAUUUACCUCAUUUGAGCUUUAGUGUUAUUUUGUUUCAUACCUCUCUUUUGGAAUCAAGAUAGAGUCAACAAAACUCAAAAGAAAAUUUUGAGCAAAAGAAUAAAGUCUGAAAAGUUUCAAAAAAAAGAAAGAAAAAAAGAGAAAAAAAAAAGAAUGUCAAGCAAAAUAAAAUCAGAAAAGUCGACAAGAGAAAAGAGUCAAUGAAAAAAAAAGAGAAAUCAUAAUUAAGCAAAAGAACAAGUUUUCAUGACUAUGUGUAACCUGAUUCUCCUCUCUCGGGAGUGAGAUACGUAGGCUGCCCUACUCUGGGCUCAGUCCAACCAAAUAAAUAAUUUAGAGUUGCCCAGUCAAUAGAAAUUGGGACAUAAUUUAAGCUUCAUUAUUUGAGUCGAUUACAAAAGUUGUAAGUCACACCCUACUUCAAGUGUCAUUUGGGCCUUAUGUCAUUCUUUCUUUCUAACCUUAUCCAAAAGCCAAGUUACAACCAAAGAAAGAUUUUCAGAUCAACUUUGAGAAUGAUAAGGCUAAGCAUGCAAUCCAUAUAAUAAUGUAUUUUGGGAACUACUUGUCUUCUUCAGCAUAAUGAAUCAAGAGAGAAAUAAAAAUAAGAGAGUCUUAUUGGUGAAAAAUCUCAUGAACAGCGUAAGACGAUAGUAAGUUAAGAGAGAUAAAAAUGAGAGUCUUAUCAGUGAAAACCCUUACAGGCACCAUAAGAUGACUACGAGUUGAGAGAAAUAAAAAUAUGAAAGUCUCAUUGGUGAAAACCCUUACGGAAAAUAUAGUGCAAUGGUGAGAUAAGAGAAAGAAAAUGAGACAGGCUUGUUGGCGAAAACCCUUCAAGGCGUCACUAGCUGAAUGAGGUCUCUGAAUGUGAAUCGUCCUAAGAAAGUAACUUAAUUUCAGGGUCAUUAACUCAACAACAACUGGUAAAAUUGAAUUGAAAGAUUAGACAGCUAAAUCUAAAAUGCAUGUCAUAAUCAUUAGAGUUGACUAUCACUUUCAGAUAAAUUUUAUUUUUUUCUGUUUUAAUGGGGACAUUCAUUGUCUGUUUUUUCUUCUUUAUAUUUUUAUUUUUUUUCCUUGUGUCAGUUAUUCAAAUUGAAAGUCAUUUUUCUUGUAUCAUUGAGUCAAGUCCAUGUCAAAACAAGUGAGAAAAGAUUUCAAAACUUGCUACCAACUUCUUCAAUUGCACAAAGCAAGACAAAAGGUCAGAACAUGAAAGAAACAUGAUUAUAAGUAAAAAAAAAGACAAGCAUAAAGUUUUGUCAAAAAGAAGUUUGUAGAAUCAAGGAAAUCCAAGGUUCGAAAGAUUUAUCGGAGAGACAUAGCAAAAUAGAGCUACUGUGCUUAAUUCUGAGUCACUUUAAAUGGUCUAAGUUUGGGUCAAUGGUGCAGCAAGAUAGUGAUAUGACAUUAGUUGAAAGCAAAAUUAACGGAACAAGUUCAAGACAAAUCACCUCAAAAUCCAAAGCCGCAAGCCAACCUCCCUGUUUUAAACUCGCAAGUUUUCUUUGUAUGAAAUAGGAACAGUUGUUACCUUCAAAUCAAAGGCUUCAAAACGGAAAUAUCCAAAGGUGUAAUUCAUUAUUUCUGCAAAUGCAAGAGCAGUAUUGUUGUACACGUUUGGUCUCACAAUUAUGGUAAAACUUAUCAUUUUGUACCCCUAAAAGACGCAUUCUCUAAUUUGGGUCAUUAUGUCUCAUGACUAGGAGGUGCACUUCCUAAUUUGAGUUGUUAAUCCUAAAAUAUGUACUUUUAGCAAGGAUCUUGCACUUUCACUCUAACGAGAUAGACGGUUUGGUCUCAAUCCUUCCAUUUUACCCUCAAGAGGUGCAUUUGUUGAUCAGAAUCUUGAUUCAUCUUUGCAUUGUACAUUGUUGCAAGUGGUUGUGAUUGGGUUUGACACCCGUAAAAGGUUUUGAUGAUAAACUGGUGCAAAAUAAAAUUUAACCUAUUAUUUGGGACAUUACUUUAUGUUCAGGACCCUCCCAGAGAAUGGAAAUUUACUUUACGUUUAAGACCCUCCCAGAGAAUGAGAAUUUAAUUUAUGUUCAGGACCCUUCUGGAAAAUAGGAAUUUACUUUAUGUUCAUGACCCUCCUGGAAAAUGGGAAUUAACUUUAUAUUCAGGACCAUCCUGAAAAAUGAAAAUUUACUUCAGUUCAGGACCCUCCUGGAAAAUGGGAAUUUACUUUAUGUUCAGGACCCUCCUAAAAAAUGAGAGUUUACUUCAGUUUAGGACUCUCCUGGAAAAUGGAAAUUUAUUUUAUGUUCACGACCCUCCUGAAAAAUGGGGAAUUUACUUCAGUUCAGGACCUUUCUGGAAAAUGGAAAUUUACUUUAUGUUUAGGACCCUCCUGAAAAAUGAGAAUUUACUUCAGUUCAGGGCCCUCAUGAAAAAUGGGAAUUGACUUAAGUUCAGGAAUCUCCCGAAAAAUGGGAAUUUACUUUAUGUUCAGGAACCUCCUGAAAAAUAGAAAUUUACUUUAUGUUCAGGACCAUCCUAGAAAAUGGGGAAUUUACUUUACGUUCAGCAGCCUCUUAGAAAAUGAAAAUUUACUUUAUGGUCAGGACCCUCCUGGAAAAUGGAAAUUUACUUUAUAUUCAGGACCCUCCUGGAAAAUGGGACAUUGUUUUCUGCUCAGGACCUUCCUGAAAAAUGAGACUUUACUUUCUGUUCAGAACACUUCUGAAAAAGGGGGCUUUAUUUUCAGAAAAUUGGAAUCACUCAUUGUCAUAACUCUUUCAGAUAAUUUGUGUGCUAGCUUGGAAUCACUCGCUGGAUGUAUUCUGUUGAAAGCUUAGGGCAAAAAAUUGGAGGACAGGAACUGAUUGGGGAUCUUGAUUGUACUGUUCACGGAAACUUCUUUGGGAGCCAGGACAAAAAACUGGAGGACAGGAAUUGAUUGGAGGUCUUGAUUGCACUGUUCACAGAAACUUCUUUGGGAUCCAGAUAUGCCAAGGUUCAAGCGGUUGCAGAAAAAGCAAAAACUAAGUCCGUCGGUAUCUACAUCACAAGGAUUCAUCACAACCAUCUCUUGUUAGUCGGGAGUCAUCACAACCAUCGCAUGUUGGUCGGGACUCAUCACAACCAUCUUGUUGGUCAGGACUCAUCACAGCCAUUGCUUGUUGUCGGGACUCAUCACAACCAUCUUCUGUUGGUCAGGACUCAUCACAGCUAUGUCUUGGUCGGGACUCAUCACAGCCAUGUUCUAUUGGUCGGGACUCACCACAUCGAUAUUCGAUUGGUCGAGACUCACCACAGUCAUCUCGAUUAGUUCACUCUACAUCAUAUAUGCGUCUGACAAAUUAGGACUUAUCACAGCCAUCUCGAUCAGUUCAUUCUACAUCACAUUCGACUCCAACAAAUUAGGACUCAUCAUAACCAUCUCUAACAAAUCAGGGCGCACCCCGAAAAUAUUCUAGAUAUGAAUCAAAUACGCAUUGGGAUGUAGUUGAAAUAGAUUCAAGAAAUAAUGUCAAGAAAUUCAAAGUGAAAGCUAAGGAAGUACUGAAUUUAACAGGUGAAGAACGUAUCGUGGUUAAUUUUGAAGUUUAUGAAGAACCAUUUGGGGAAGCACGUAGCCUACUUUCGCGUUUUUGUGAAAUUUUAGCGUGUGAUUGCUCUUUAUUUCAAAUCAACUUUGAGAAAUGGUCGAUUUUACCUAUGACAUACUUCAACCGCAUCUUCGAACAUACUAUAAAGAUGGACGAAACUGGACAAUGGCCUGGACGAGCACAAAUGUACAUUACUACUCAUAAGAGUCAAGAUGGAGUAUAUGUUAAUGAAGCGGCAAAAGAAAUAUGUGUGAGUUAUACUUAUGUGCCAUAGACUCUUAUCGAGCAAUCAACCGCGGUAUGCCAAAUGAAUUUCUAUUAUUAAUUUAUUUUGACAAUAAAUUUUCCAUAUGUAGGAAAAAAUUGAGUCAACUUUGAGUCAAAGCACCAUAGAUGAGUCUCAAGUUUUUUCAAAUGAUGUCAUUAGUAAGGUGCUAGGGCCAGACCACUCUAGAUGGGUGAGAUGCUUGGGAUUAGGAGUUGUUCCUAGUAGAGUGUUUAAAUAAGAUAGACCUCAUUUUGGUGGUACAAGUGCUUCAAGUAGUGGAGGUUCUUGUUCGUUCCAAUGUCGAGAAAACUUGGCUCAAAUAAUGAAUUCUCACAAUCAAAUAAUGAGUGCUUUGAAGGCGUAUAUGAUAAUGAAAAAAGGAACGAUACUGAAAUAAUUUGUGGGGCUCUUUGAUUCUCCUUCAAUGGCUUCUCCCACGGCAGUAAGUAAAGUUCUCUUUACUUUUUUUUAGUUGGAUCGGUUGUGAAAAUUUUCUCUAAUUUUAUGUUGUUUUUGAGUUGGUGUGCUGCAACUUUUCUUGAUCAUAUUGGAAGUUUUUCUUGUGUUGUUUUCUGGGUUGUUGUGUUCAGUAUCCUUUGCUAUAGCAGAGUGGUUCUUUGAAAAAAAUAGUAUCUUCCUUUUGAUAACUUCUUGAGUUGUAUUGACAAAACAAAAUCAAUCCGUCAAAAGUGGCUAUCUCAUUUCAUGUGCAUAACAUUUUUGUUACAACUUUGGAGAGUAUGAGCAUAGCUUGUGGUUGCUGGUUGUGUUAGAUGGCUUAUUAUGUUGACUGUAAAUAUUUUUGUCAUUUAGUAUAAACAUGCUAUGUUAAUGUUGUCGUGUACAACUAGAGGUGUUUACACCUACCAGUACGUAGACCCUCUCUGUUUUAUGUCAAAUUAUAGUCGUUGCUGCCUUUUUAAUUCUGGUGUGUUUCCUGAUAGUUUUAAUUUUAGCCUUGUAGGGGGUGCCUGUUGCUAGCUCAAUUAAUUCUUUUCAUGAUAGUUUCUUUUGUCUGUAGCUCAAUAGAUCAAUUGUCUGAGCUUCGUCUUGAAGGGGUAGGUGUUGGGGAAGUUUUAAGGAGAGUAUCUUUUGAUGUUACAUCUGGAACAAAGAGUGGAAAUGGAAAUGAGGAAGUGCUUCUUAAGCUACUGCAUGUGGUUCUUGAAGGGAAGGAUGAGAAGGCAAGGCGAGAGAUGAAAGGCUUAGUAUUGAAAAUGUUGCAUGAGAAUUCAUCUCAUAAUGACUUGAGGAAGGAGUCACUGUAUUCAGCUUGAAUGCAUGUCUGCAAUUGCUCCGCCACUAUUUUUUACGGGCAGCAGAUGCAGACAUGAUGGAUGUAAAUCAGAUUGCACGACAGGCUGAUAAUCUGCAUUGGAUUUUGUAUAUUUUGAUUGAUAGACAGAUAGCUGAAGAUUUUUUGAGGACUUGGGCUUCUCAGUCUGAAUUAUCUGAGGCACAUCCGAAGGAAGGUGCCAGCACUUCAUAGGUAUGAGGUUAGUAGAGUCACGGCUAGACUAUUUGUUGUAUAGGUAAAGGGCAAUUACUAGAUUCCAAAGAUGUUAGGUGCUCUCUUUUGCAGACGUGAUUAGUGCCAUUCUAUGAGGAUUUUGGAUGGAUGAGGAGGGCAUCAAGAGGUUUCCUACUUUAAGGUUUCUUCUGAUCCAUGUAGAGCUCUCCUGUCUGUGACUGAAUUUCCUGAAUUAGUGAUUUUAUCACAAAGGGUCAUCCUACUUAAGAGUUGUGCGGCUUCCUAAGUUGCAGGGAUAAUCCAUAUGUUCAGUUUUACUGGACAUGAAAAAACACAAUUUAAGCAAGGUAACAAAGUUCAGGCAAUUUGGAGAUAAGGAUGAUUGUUAAUAUAUAAGACCAAGCUAAAUUGUUAUUGAUUUCGUGAUGGCAAUGCCAAGGAUUGCAGCAACAUGGUGAAUUGUAUAUUGUUGUAAGUUCAGAAGAAAGACUGAUCAUUUUGCUUUUCUGGUUUCUAAUGAAAUUCAUUGUCUA
Molecule: RNA transcript, 10491 nt
Organism: Capsicum annuum
Lineage: Eukaryota; Viridiplantae; Streptophyta; Magnoliopsida; Solanales; Solanaceae
Exons: 7
Source: RefSeq, a predicted model, not a curated record